RNAcentral lists this ribosomal RNA (429 nucleotides) under Triticum aestivum (bread wheat). RNAcentral's name for it is "partial small subunit ribosomal RNA". The record is from RNAcentral. Lineage: Eukaryota; Viridiplantae; Streptophyta; Magnoliopsida; Poales; Poaceae.
AUGAGUAUCUUAACUUGGAACUGCCGCGGGGCUGGCAAACCCGCGACAGUUCAUGAGCUUCGUGACCUCACGAGGCAACAUGCCCCCUCUAUCUUAUGUAUUCUUGAAACUCAAAUAGAGGGCUCGAGAGUGGAGAAUCUAGUAGGUACUCUAGGGUUCAAUAAAAGUUAUGCUAUAAGCAGUUCUGGUAGGAGUGGUGGAAUUGAAUUUUUUUGGAAAGAUGAAAUAAAAGUUAAGGUUAUCGGUUAUUCGGAAUAUCACAUUGAUGUUACAAUCGAAGAUCUAGCUGAAACACAGUUUAGGGCCACCAUCGUCUAUGGAGAGGCCCAAGUGAAUGAGCGUUACAAGAUGUGGAACAUGCUCCCUUUUAGGUUGGCUUGCGCUAUCCAACAAAGACACAUAUGCCUCCUGCAAGUACACAUGCGUUAG